GUAACGGCGAGUGAAGCGGCAACAGCUCAAAUUUGAAAUCUGGCCUCCUCGGGGUCCGAGUUGUAAUUUGUAGAGGGUGUUUCGGGCGCGAUGCCGGUCUAAGUUCCUUGGAACAGGACGUCGUAGAGGGUGAGAAUCCCGUAUGCGAUCGGCGAUCAAGCCUGUGUGAAGCCCCUUCGACGAGUCGAGUUGUUUGGGAAUGCAGCUCAAAAUGGGUGGUAAAUUUCAUCUAAAGCUAAAUAUUGGCCAGAGACCGAUAGCGGACAAGUAGAGUGAUCGAAAGAUGAAAAGCACUUUGGAAAGAGAGUCAAACAGUACGUGAAAUUGUUGAAAGGGAAGCGCUUGCAAUCAGACCGGUCCGGAGGUGAUCAGCCGCUGCUCGUCAGCGGUGCACUCGCCUGCGAUCCGGCCAGCAUCGGUUUGGGCGGUGGGAUAAAAGUCCCGGGAAUGUAGCUUCCUUCGGGGAGUCUUAUAGCCCGGGUCGCAAUGCCGCCCGCCUGGACCGAGGACCGCGCUUCGGCU
RNAcentral lists this ribosomal RNA (522 nucleotides) under Sticta latifrons. RNAcentral describes it as "partial large subunit ribosomal RNA". It matches the Rfam family "Eukaryotic large subunit ribosomal RNA", at positions 83 to 607 of the family's 3401-position model. Lineage: Eukaryota; Fungi; Ascomycota; Lecanoromycetes; Peltigerales; Lobariaceae. The record is from RNAcentral.